Molecule: long non-coding RNA, 380 nt
Filed under: Zostera marina
Lineage: Eukaryota; Viridiplantae; Streptophyta; Magnoliopsida; Alismatales; Zosteraceae
Description: long non-coding RNA (ZMAR_LNC000657)
Source: RNAcentral
GUGAUACUGAGACAUCACCCUUUUUUGAGACUAAUUGCUUGUCUCCAUUUGGGAGUGAGAUUGUGAAUGGUUCACAUUUUUUUAGAUUUUUGAAUAGGGAUUUAUUGCCACUGAGGUGCUCUGAGGCACCUGAGUCUAUAAUCCAGUAGUUAUGAAAAUUAGAUUUAUCAAAAAUAGAAUUUGCAGUACCUGAAUCAGGAUUGUAUUUUGGCAAUGGCUUCGGAUUGUACUUUUCAGAGUAAAGAGGGAAGCCAUAUGGUCCUAUUGGAUUAUCAGCAUCCUUUGAGGGCUUGGUAGCACUGUUCCAGGGUGACCACUCUUGUUUCUCAGUACCCACAUGAUUCACAGAACCUUGGACCUUAAUAGAUUCAGGUUGGGUG